RNAcentral lists this unclassified non-coding RNA (338 nucleotides) under soil metagenome. RNAcentral describes it as "partial contains 5.8S ribosomal RNA, internal transcribed spacer 2, and large subunit ribosomal RNA". The stretch from base 3 to 121 matches the Rfam family "5.8S ribosomal RNA", at positions 36 to 154 of the family's 154-position model. The record is from RNAcentral.
GAAUGAAGAACGCAGCGAAAUGCGAUAAGUAGUGUGAAUUGCAGAAUUCAGUGAAUCAUCGAAUCUUUGAACGCACAUUGCGCCCCUUGGUAUUCCAUGGGGCAUGCCUGUUCGAGCGUCAUUUGUACCUUCAAGCUUUGCUUGGUGUUGGGUGUUUGUCUCGCCUCCGCGUGUAGACUCGCCUCAAAACAAUUGGCAGCCGGCGUAUUGAUUUCGGAGCGCAGUACAUCUCGCGCUUUGCACUCACAACGACGACGUCCAAAAGUACAUUUUUACACUCUUGACCUCGGAUCAGGUAGGGAUACCCGCUGAACUUAAGCAUAUCAAUAAGCGGAGGA